UACGGGGGGAGCAAGCGUUGUUCGGAUUUACUGGGCGUAAAGGGCGCGUAGGCGGCCACUGCAAGUCAGUUGUGAAAUCUCCGGGCUUAACCCGGAAAGGUCAACUGAUACUGCAGGGCUAGAGUGCAGAAGGGGCAACUGGAAUUCUCGGUGUAGCGGUGAAAUGCGUAGAUAUCGAGAGGAACACCUGCGGCGAAGGCGGGUUGCUGGGCCGACACUGACGCUGAUGCGCGAAAGCCAGGGGAGCGAACGGG
This 254-nucleotide ribosomal RNA is filed under the name uncultured bacterium. RNAcentral describes it as "partial 16S ribosomal RNA". It matches the Rfam family "Bacterial small subunit ribosomal RNA", at positions 524 to 776 of the family's 1533-position model. The record is from RNAcentral.